Dreissena polymorpha is the source of this 247-nucleotide long non-coding RNA. RefSeq lists it as uncharacterized. Lineage: Eukaryota; Metazoa; Mollusca; Bivalvia; Myida; Dreissenidae. The transcript has 3 exons. The record is from RefSeq and is a predicted model, not a curated record.
GGGAUGCUAAUUCUUCUGGUGGCGUUAAUUAUGAUUGUUGUUUUAUUGAUUAGAAAGAAAAAAGGCAAACGGACCCAAGAACAUUCGAGUGUGCUAUCAACUGUUGGCGAGCCAAUAAGUAUCGUCCAUGACGAGCCGCAACAAAUGGCCGCCGCAAAGCCAAAUAAUGAGCAACAAUGUUCGCUACCAACAUCAGAGUCGGUUACUACAAUGUUCAUUCAAGAACCGGUAUAUUCGAACAUGAAGG